This 77-nucleotide transfer RNA is filed under the name Armatimonadetes bacterium RBG_16_58_9. RNAcentral describes it as "tRNA-Glu". It matches the Rfam family "tRNA". From Rfam's summary of the family: Transfer RNA (tRNA) molecules are approximately 80 nucleotides in length. Their secondary structure includes four short double-helical elements and three loops (D, anti-codon, and T loops). The record is from RNAcentral. RNAcentral also lists the same sequence under 3 other names. Lineage: Bacteria; Bacillati; Armatimonadota.
GGCCCCGUCGUCUAGCGGUCCAGGAUGCAUGGUUCUCAGCCAUGAGAUCGAGGGUUCGAAUCCCUUCGGGGCUACCA